RNAcentral lists this ribosomal RNA (494 nucleotides) under uncultured bacterium. RNAcentral describes it as "partial 16S ribosomal RNA". It matches the Rfam family "Bacterial small subunit ribosomal RNA", at positions 28 to 507 of the family's 1533-position model. The record is from RNAcentral.
GACGAACGCUGGCGGCGUGCUUAACACAUGCAAGUCGAACGGAAAGGCCUGCUUUCCCUUGUGGAUUGCGGGUACUCGAGUGGCGAACGGGUGAGUAACACGUGAGUGAUCUGCCCCCAACUUGGGUAUAAGCCUGGGAAACUGGGUCUAAUUCCCGAUAGGACUGCAGGGUGGUGCCUGUGGUGGAAAACGAUUUUCUAGUGGUUGGGGAUGAGCUCGCGGCCUAUCAGCUUGUUGGUGGGGUAAUGGCCUACCAAGGCGGCGACGGGUAGCCGGCCUGAGAGGGUGGACGGCCACAUUGGGACUGAGAUACGGCCCAGACUCCUACGGGAGGCAGGAGUGGGGAAUAGUGCACAAUGGGCGGAAGCCUGAUGCAGCGACGCCGCGUGGGGGAUGACGGCCUUCGGGUUGUAAACUCCUUUCGACCGCGAGGAAGCCACCUGGUUGGAAGGGUGGUGACGGUAGUGGUAGAAGAAGCACCGGCUAACUACGUG